UUCUUCCAGAAGGCAAAGCCCAGUUUGCUGACAUUGAACCCAAAUUUGAUAGACUGCUGUUUUUCUGGUCUGACCGUCGCAACCCUCAUGAAGUACAACCAGCAUAUUCUACAAGGUGAAAAAGGUGUGAGGGUUGAACUCAAUAAGCCUUCCGAUUCCAUCAGUAAAGACGUCUUAUAGAGCCUUCAAUCCAGCAAUACCCCACUCCACCUACAAGAAUUGUUGACACUCUUUGUUAACUUGUGAAUAUGAAUAAAGAAAAAUAGACAACCAGUUGGCAUUUUAAUAAGGAAACAGAAACAACUUGGUCGUGUUGCCUCAGAAAGAAGAUUGUGACUGUGACUUUGUACUGCAUGACUUUCCAAACCUGUGAUCUCAUGGGAAGGAUACAAGCUACCGGCUGAAAAUGGGGGUGACACCUGGAUGUGAAAUAAGUGCCCUAGGUAGAAGUUUUUCAUUCUUAUAUUUUGCCAGAUCUGUCAUCUAGAUGAGUUCAUUUCAUCUCUCCCUUUUUUAUAUAGUCAAGUUUGAAUUUGAAGUAAUUUUUGUAUGAUCAGGUACAAUACAUCAAAACUGAAUUGAGAAAAAAGUACAGUAUUACUCCCCCAAAUAGCAUCGAUCUAUUUUUGUAAACUUCUUCGUACUAUUAAAUUUUGCCCUAAAAAAGAAAAAAAAAAAAAAAAAAA
Long non-coding RNA from Mustela erminea (ermine), 686 nucleotides. RefSeq lists it as uncharacterized. The record is from RefSeq and is a predicted model, not a curated record. The transcript is spliced from 2 exons. NCBI's taxonomy places the organism in Eukaryota, Metazoa, Chordata, Mammalia, Carnivora, Mustelidae.